UUCCAUACUUGCACUUUACUGUUUUGAGUGCAUAAAUACAGUCAGGCAAGUAUGGCU
Molecule: microRNA precursor, 57 nt
Organism: Oreochromis aureus
Lineage: Eukaryota; Metazoa; Chordata; Actinopteri; Cichliformes; Cichlidae
Source: Ensembl